RNAcentral lists this long non-coding RNA (3065 nucleotides) under Setaria viridis. RNAcentral's name for it is "long non-coding RNA (SVIR_LNC008344)". The record is from RNAcentral. Lineage: Eukaryota; Viridiplantae; Streptophyta; Magnoliopsida; Poales; Poaceae.
UCGGUGGACUCGGGCAGGGUCAGCGCCGCCGUGGCGGCGAGGAGGAAGGCGGAGGAGGAGAAGCGGCGCGCCGAGCAGGUGCUGCGCACCGUCAUGUUCCUCUCUGUCUGGGGUCCCAACACCUAGAAUUUGCAGACCAUCUGCGUGUAAUUGCUGCUAGCCUACUACUGUUGUGCUUGCGCAUGUUUCUGUUCGAGAUGAAGGAAUUGUAAAUGAUCUGAUAUAUGGACACAAAUCGAUCUGUUGAUUCUUCGAACAAGGCUCUGGCUCUGUUGCUGAUCUCAAGAUAUCUCUGAUGUGUCUGCGUACCUAUUCGUUCUCUUUCAAAUCUGUUUUCUAAAGUGCUGCCAAGGUUAUGCACUGCUGCGACUGCUUGUUUCCUCGAGCUGUCCGCUGUGCGUGGCGUUCUCUGUCACCCGUGCUCUCCACGCUGGGGGAGGGGCGGCGCGUGGCCCACGGCGACAGCGGCGCAGCCCUUGUCCGUACCUGGGCGGAGCGCACCCGCGUGGCCAUGCGCGCCGAGGUCGAGGCUGCCACAGCCGGCCGCAGGAGCCGGUGGAUUGAAGGGAGACCGGCAUGGGCAGAGGCGAAAAUCAAUCCGGGGAGGAGCUGAUGAAGGAAUUGCAGCAUUGGGUGGACGAGGGUCGCUGCUACCAUCCAUUUUCGCUGGAGAUUGGCCUGGCGGCGCUCAAACCAUGCGGUGGCGGAGCUAGGGUUCGCGGGAGGCGGGGAAACGAGCAAUGGGACAAGGGGAGGGGGCAACGGGAGGAAGCUGAUUGUUUUUUCCUUUCUAAGACCGAAACGGUACGUUGUGUAACCAGUAGUAAAGGUGAGUAAAUAAUCCCCAACUUCACGAGAAAGUUUGAAACUUAUGUUUUUGGAGCACUCCUGAGGUACUCCAAGAAAAACGUGAAUCUGACCCCUAGCUCCAUAUUUUUUCUGAAGCUGGAGUUUGUGAAGUAAGACGUGUUUGGCAGGCAAUUUUGUGGAGUUAUUGAAGUAGAGCUAUUUUUUCUGGAGUGAAGUGCUGCCAAACACUCCUAGUUCAUGUCCAGCCACGUUACUGCCACCUCUAACGUCUCAUGGAGCCCCACUGAGAACAGAAGAACGGCAAAACCCUUGCAGAGAAGAAACAUGGUGUUGGACCGCUCAAAAAAAAAACAGAAACAUGGUGUUGGGGCCGGGGGCGUGCGUUUGCUAGAGUUGGACUGUGGUGUGUGCGAGGGAAACUGGAUCAUGCACGCCUGAUAUGCCUGCCCGUGCCAUCGACCUGACCACAAGAAAAAUAUUCCGAACCGCUGACGAUGCACGCACGAUCCAGCAGCACAGGCUUGCCAGCUUUGCUAGCCUAUUUCAUCAACCGUCUACCGAUCGAUACACAGAUGACAGAUGCAGGGUGCUCUUCAGUUUGUGGCUCCUGGCAAGGUGUCGGGCGUCAGCAACGCUGGCGCGUAACGAUCGAUCGACAUCGAUCACGCACGCAGUGAAACCAAACGGGGUUCGUGUUGGAUGUGCCUGUCACGGGACGCGCACAUUUCUCCAUCGAUUGUGAUACGGCUCGAGUCAAGUCGUGUCUGCAUGUGACAAACUAGCAGAUACGCGUGCGCGGACGUGCCCAUCGGCGCGUUGUUUUCACCCCCUGAAAAUAACGUUGCGUCUCCGCGCCGUGCACGAAGAUUGUUAAUUUACGCCGAUGCCAGAACAGCACAGCCGUCGAUUGGACAGUUCGAUGGGUGCGGCUAGAUGUGGCGGAAGGCAUCGGCAACCAUAGCCUCACGAAGCGCGCUGGCAGUAGAAAUAUUCAGGAAGCGUGGUGGCAGUAGAAAUAUUCAUGAUGGGUCACGUAUUAGACCAAUUAACUAGACUAUUUUAGCACAGUUCGUUGCUUUCCCUAGACUGUUUUAGCACAGUUCCUUGCUUCUCCAUGUUAUGGUGUAGCUUUUUUUAGUUUGAUGCCGGUGCAUGCGUAUAUAGUGUAAAGAAGAUAGAGAAAGAAGAUUGCAUGGGUGCAUGCAAAUCUAAAAUAAAAAAUGUAUGAAUCUUAAACCGAGCAUCCAAACUAAAUUUUGAUUAUACCAUUAUAUUUGUUACGUCAAGAUCUUCAAAAGAAGAUCCCACAUGUUUUGAGAAUUUUUUUUAAAAACUAUUUUUAAUAUUAAAUAAUUAAUUUUGGCUACUGCGAAAACAUCACGAACAAAUAAUUAUUUUCUGCGAACAAAUAAUUAAAUAUGAUGAACAAAAUAAUUGUACAGUGCGAACAUAAAUAUUUAAAUCACGAACAAAUCGUUGCGUAAGAGAGUGUCAAACUAAAAAUGAAAUCAAAAUUAAAUUUCGAUUGCACCGUUAUAUUUUGAAAAUGAAACCUUCAAAACAAGACCCAUUUGACUAUAUUUGAACGAUUUUUAUUUAUCACUAUUUUUUAAUCAUGUUUCAAAUUUUUUUUGAGAUAUAUACUUCUGAAAAAAUUAUAUGAAUUCAAAGAACAAAAUAUAUGUAUAUAUCGAACAAAUUGUAUGUACUUACAGAAAAAAAGUCAAUACCUGGAACAAAUUAUACGAACUCACGAAACAAAAAUAGCUGUACAUGUCGAACAAUUUAUAUGAACUCACAGAAUAAAAAAUCUAUAUAACUCGAACAAAGUGCAAGAACCCACAGAACAAGUAUUUAUACAUAUAGAAAAAGAAAUGAAACUAUAAUAUACCAAAUAAAAUAAAAGAUAAAGAAAUAAUAUACAAAUAAUUAGAAAAAGGAAAGGGCACCACAAGAAAACAAAAGCAGAAGAAAGAAAAUGAUAUUGUAGUUUAACAUUGAAUUUCUCUUAAUAAUUUAAUUUCAUCAUGGGAAAAGUCAGUUAUAUUCUAUUAAUAUAAUAUAUAAAGAUUGAUGAUAUAAUUUAUGAAAUAAACCAUCCAAAGAAAGAAUAUCUACAUGACAAUUAGACUAAUCAAAAAGAAAGAAAGAAAAAUAAAAUAAUAUAUAUACAUAGAGAAAUAAUGAAAAGGGAAAAAAUAAAAAUUGAAAGGAAAGAAAUAGAAAAAUUGAACAACAAAGAAAGAAAAAAAAAA